AUUGAACGCUGGCGGCAGGCCUAACACAUGCAAGUCGAACGAGUGGCGGACGGGUGAGUCAUGUCUGGGAAACUGCCCGAUGGAGGGGGAUAACUACUGGACACGGUAGCUACUACCGCGUACCAUCGGAUGUUCCCAGCUGGGAUUAGCUAGUAGGUGGGGUAAUGGCUCACCUAGGCGACGAUCCCUACCUGGUCUGAGAGGAUGACCAGCCCCACUGGAACUGAGCCACGGUCCAGACGCUGACGAGAGGCAGCAGUGGGGAAUAUUGACGAAUGGGCGCAAGCCUGAUGCAGCCAUGCCGCGUGUAUGAAGAAGGCCUGCGGGUUGUAAAGUACUUUCAGCGGGGAGGCGUUACCCGCAGAAGAAGCACCGGCUAACUCCGUGCCAGCAGCCGCGGUAAUAC
RNAcentral lists this ribosomal RNA (406 nucleotides) under uncultured bacterium. RNAcentral describes it as "partial 16S ribosomal RNA". It matches the Rfam family "Bacterial small subunit ribosomal RNA", at positions 30 to 526 of the family's 1533-position model. The record is from RNAcentral.